This 449-nucleotide ribosomal RNA is filed under the name Metaverruca recta. RNAcentral describes it as "partial 16S ribosomal RNA". The stretch from base 80 to 449 matches the Rfam family "Bacterial large subunit ribosomal RNA", at positions 2048 to 2625 of the family's 2925-position model. Lineage: Eukaryota; Metazoa; Arthropoda; Thecostraca; Verrucomorpha; Verrucidae. The record is from RNAcentral.
AUUUGUCUUUUAAUUGAAGACUAGUAUGAAUGGUUAAACGAAAAAUGAUCUUUUUUUCCUAUAUUUUUUUAAUUUAUUUUAUCAGUGAAAAGACUGAUAUGCUUCAGAAAGACGAGAAGACCCUAUAGAAUUUUAUAUUAAAUUUUAAAUUUUGUAUAUCUAUUUUAAUAAUAAUAUUUACAAAUAUAGUAUUUUGUUGGGGCGACAUUAAGAUAUAUUAACUCUUAGUUAUUAAAACUUUUAUAAAAGAAUUAAUUUGAUCCUUUAAAAAAGAUUAAGAGAUAAAAUUACCUUAGGGAUAACAGCGUAAUCUUUUUUGAGAGUUCUAAUCGACAAAAAGGUUUGCGACCUCGAUGUUGGACUAAAUGUGUGGCAAGGUGUAGAAGUUUUGUUUUUGGGUCUGUUCGACCCUUAUUAUUUUACAUGAUCUGAGUUCAGACCGGUGUAAG